ACGCUCGACACCUACGGGAGGCAGCAGUGGGGAAGUAUUGCACAAUGGGGGAAACCCUGAUGCAGCGACGCCGCGUGGAGGAAGAAGGUCUUCGGAUUGUAAACUCCUGUUGUUGGGGAAAAAGAGGAUGGUACCCAACAAGGAAGUAGACGGCUAACUACGUGACAGCAGCCGCGGUAAUCUGAGCGGGCUGGCAAGGC
This 200-nucleotide ribosomal RNA is filed under the name uncultured bacterium. RNAcentral describes it as "partial 16S ribosomal RNA". It matches the Rfam family "Bacterial small subunit ribosomal RNA", at positions 328 to 539 of the family's 1533-position model. The record is from RNAcentral.